Long non-coding RNA from Triticum dicoccoides, 770 nucleotides. RefSeq lists it as uncharacterized. NCBI's taxonomy places the organism in Eukaryota, Viridiplantae, Streptophyta, Magnoliopsida, Poales, Poaceae. The transcript has 3 exons. The record is from RefSeq and is a predicted model, not a curated record.
CAGGUAAUGAGAGAAUCAAUCGGGCAGGAAUACCGGGAAGUCGUUGAAAGAAGGGUAUUCACUGUAACUGGUAAUCGCCUUGAUGAAGAGGAAGAAGUGAGCAGAUUUUCAAAGAUGCAGUUCAGCAGCAGGGGAGAGCCCAUGUAUAUAUGAGUUAUAACUUGGUCAUGAUCUGGACACUUGUGGGAAAAACACAUCGAAAUCUCAGGAUGAUAAUUUUUCAUCCAUGUUGCAGAUAUUGGAUACUGUUGUUGAGAUACAGGAGCGGCAUGAUGCUGUAAGAGAUCUAGAGAGGAAGCGUCUGGAGUUGCAGAAGAUAUUCCUGGAUAUGGCAGUGUUGGUUGAGGCUCAAGGAGACAUGAUCAGCCACAUAGAGACACAUGUAAGACGAUGAAUGUUCAGGGUAGUAUUUUUUUUCAAAAAUAUGUUCAGGGUAGUGUUAGUACGCAACAAGUAAAAACACAAUUUGUGAUGCCGCCUCCACCGGUAGUGACAACACGGUCGCUGCAUGUGGUCUAUCCUGAGCCUCUGAUUGUGGUUGCUGUUCUUUCGAUAUCCGCUUGCCAUGAUAUUGUGGCUGGACUUCUGGUAUGUGUAAUGUGUUACCUCUAAAUUUUUUUAUCUGGACUAAUUAGGGCCUGCUUCUGUUUGCUCUAAUUGAUAUAAUGGUUGUGGCAUGCAGCAGCCAAGCCAACAACAGAGCCAGGCUUAGGCCUGAUAAUGAGUUGACAAAUAUGGUCAAAAUGCUGGAGAUGACGAAUCUAACGAAA